Molecule: ribosomal RNA, 253 nt
Filed under: uncultured bacterium
Lineage: Bacteria
Description: partial 16S ribosomal RNA
Rfam family: Bacterial small subunit ribosomal RNA
Source: RNAcentral
UACGAAGGGGGCGAGCGUUGUUCGGAAUCACUGGGCGUAAAGGGCGCGUAGGCGGAUAGUUCAGUCGGGGGUGAAAGCCCGGGGCUCAACCUCGGAACUGCCUUCGAUACUGGCUAUCUUGAGUACGGGAGAGGUGUGUGGAACUCCGAGUGUAGAGGUGAAAUUCGUAGAUAUUCGGAAGAACACCAGUGGCGAAGGCGACACACUGGCCCGUUACUGACGCUGAGGCGCGAAAGCGUGGGGAGCAAACAGG